This is a small nuclear RNA of Monodelphis domestica (gray short-tailed opossum), 141 nucleotides long. Its record names the gene U1. It matches the Rfam family "U1 spliceosomal RNA". From Rfam's summary of the family: U1 is a small nuclear RNA (snRNA) component of the spliceosome (involved in pre-mRNA splicing). Its 5' end forms complementary base pairs with the 5' splice junction, thus defining the 5' donor site of an intron. NCBI's taxonomy places the organism in Eukaryota, Metazoa, Chordata, Mammalia, Didelphimorphia, Didelphidae. The record is from Ensembl.
UGACUUACCUGUCAGGGGUGAUUCCAUGAUCACAAAGGUGGUUUCCCCAGUGUGAGGCUUAUCCAUUGCACUCCAGAUGGGCUGACCCCGUUGAUUUCCCCAAAUGCGGGAAACUCAACUUCAUAAUUUGUGGUCAAAAUC